AGUUCGGAUUGCAGGCUGCAACCCGCCUGCAUGAAGUUGGAAUCGCUAGUAAUCGCGGAUCAGCAUGCCGCGGUGAAUACGUUCCCGGGCCUUGUACACACCGCCCGUCACACCAUGAGAGUCGGGAACACCCGAAGUCCGUAGCCUAACCGCAAGGGGGGCGCGGCCGAAGGUGGGUUCGAUAAUUGGGGUGAAGUCGUAACAAGGUAAC
This 211-nucleotide ribosomal RNA is filed under the name uncultured bacterium. Its description in RNAcentral is "partial 16S ribosomal RNA". It matches the Rfam family "Bacterial small subunit ribosomal RNA", at positions 1290 to 1500 of the family's 1533-position model. The record is from RNAcentral.